CAUGUCUUUUUGAUUAUAAUUUAAAGUCUGACCUGCCCUAUGAGUAUUUAAAUGGCUGCGAUACCCUGAUCGUGCAAAGGUAGCAUAAUAAUUAGUUUUUUAAUUGGGAACUGGAAUGAAAGGUCGAACGAGAAAAAGACUGUCUCAAUCUAAAUUUAAUUAGAAUUUUAUUUUUAAGUAAAAAAGCUUAAAUAAUUUUAAAAGACGAGAAGACCCUAUAGAGUUUUAUAUACGUAUAAAUAUUUAAAAGUUGAAGAAUUAUAGAUUUGAAUAUUAAUAUUUAUAUUUGGUUGGGGUGAUUAAAAAAUUUAAUAAACUUUUUUUAUAUUAAACCAUUGAUUUAUGAAUAAGUGAUCCAUUAUUAAUGAUUAUAAGAUUAAAUUACCUUAGGGAUAACAGCGUAAUUUUUUUUAGAGUUCUUAUCGAAAAAAAAGUUUGCGACC
RNAcentral lists this ribosomal RNA (443 nucleotides) under Metacatharsius sp. dgi1. RNAcentral's name for it is "partial 16S ribosomal RNA". Lineage: Eukaryota; Metazoa; Arthropoda; Insecta; Coleoptera; Scarabaeidae. The record is from RNAcentral.